UACAUGACUGUAUACGAAUUUAUACAUGACUGUCUACGAAUGUAAUAGUAAUACAUUUUGAAUAUUAAUGAUUAUACCGUUUCUAUAUUUUGAAUAUUUUGCAGGUCCUUUCCAUUUCACGCCCUCUCACUUUUCUCUGCAAUCUCUCUCUUCCUCCCCUUUCCUCCCUCCUCUGUAAAAAUUGAACGGCGUAUAAAUCGGCGGAUGGAUGCAAUGAAAACUCGCACAGGGAUCUGUUGGUGCUGCCUCGAAUGAGUAAUUGAGGAGAUGGAGAGUCAACCCGCACCUAGAAGCCUCUCACUAAACCUCCGCCGCCGUUCCUCUCAACAGCCAUCGCCGUCUUCAGGAGUUGAGGAGGUUAUUAGUUGUUGCUUACUAACUUCUGGAGUCCUAGGUUUCCCAUGCUUCAAAUAAGUGAUAACAGUGUUCUUUGUUGCCCGAUUUCUUGAGCUAAGGAGAGAGAACUAUUCCGAUUUUGAAAAAUUAAUUGAAAAAGCCAUAGGGCCGAUCGACUGAAUGAGAGCUUUAUGAGUUGCAAUCUUGUUGAUAUUGGUGCAUAAAAAUGAUUUAGGCAAUAGGAAUAAAGGCCUCAUAUCCAAAUUAUCACAUACCUGACCUUGCAUAAACCCCUAGUGAGCCAGUUUGAGCCCCAAAAGACUAAUUUCUUUGUUGAAAAUUUUGAAGUCCUUAUAUCAGCUUACUUAUUAUAUCCAUUUGUUGGCCUAUAUUUUCUUCCCUAGUCACUAACAUUAAAGUGCUAGCACAUUCUUGGGAGGGUAUUAUGGUGGCAAGAAAAAGAUGGAGGUUCUGGUCCAUUCAUUAGGUGGUAUUACUGAGAUACAAAGUGAGUGAAAAAUGUCCCUUCAAACGAAAAUAGAAUAAAAAGGCAGCCUUUCAAGAGUAAAAAAAAGCCAUGGCUAAAAAAAAUGGCAGCCUUUCAUAAGUAAAAACAGCCAAGGCUAGAAAAAAAUAAAAAGGCAGCCUUUCAUAAGUAAAAAAAGCCAAGGCUAGAAAAAAAAGGCAGCCUUUCAUGUUUAAAAAAGCCAAGGCUAGAAAAAAAUAAAAUAAAAAGGCAGCCUUUCUUGAGUUAAAAAAAGCCAAGGCUCGAAAAAAAAUAUUGAGCGAAAAAUAGAAAUGAUAAAAGAAUGCUCAAAAGAAUAAGUUGACAGAUGGUCGAAAAAUCUCAUGUUUGGGGUGUUGAGCUGUAAGAAAUUUGUACGCAGUGAGUGAGAUGUGAAAGGAGUUGUGAUGAAUGUGCUAGUAUUUUAAGAAUGGUGGUAAGCUACUUAACCAAAUAUUAUCCCACCUUUACCAAAAGCCCCGUUACAUCCCAAUGAAUAAGACCUUUUGAUUUGUGCAUCAUAUUGACUUGUGAGCAAUGAAUUUUGCUUGAUUUUGGGAGAAAGAUCUUAAGUGCAUAAAAUAAAGAUAGUCAGAAGAACUUCUCUUUAUGAAUUAGUGACGAUGGUUUGAGACUCCCAAGACACAACAUGAACUUAGAUUGAAGCAUGGGAUGCCUAGUUCUUAGGGAAUUAGUUCGUGUACAAUUCUUGUUCUAAAGUUUUACCCGCGAGUGAAUUCGGGGUCGGCCUAAUUUCCCUACUGAUUCAUAUGGUUUGGCGUGACUUGAGGCAGAGGAUUAUCUAAUAUAUCUUUAUACAAUGGAAUGGGGGGUAGCGUAUUACUGCUCGAAGCCAAUUUUGACCACUCCGAUAUCAAGUGUCUCUCAGUUCAUACUAAAGCCAUCAAUGAAGAACUAUUGCAAAAUCUGUCUGAUGCUCUACACUUGUCGGUACCUGAUAAAAUUGGAGUUGGUCUUGCUUUGUCUAAAUAUGAAGAUCACGAUACUAGAAAGAAUUUUUGUUUGAGUCAGAUUAAAGUGUUGUGUGCCAAUCCUAUUGCAUUUGAGGUGACUGAGAUAAUUCAACAUAUUCUCGUGUUACUCUUAGUUGAUCUGAAGGCCUCUCUAAGCAUUCAGAUUCACUCUUGCAAAUGUCAUCUCUUGUGCAACUAAGGUGCUUUCCGUGUUAGUUCCUCGUGCAAAAAUAGACUAUAAUUUUUAGUCAAUCUGAAGGCCGAGGCCCAACUAUGUGGAGAUCACUUCUUCAGCGCUGUUAAAAACGCGCCGCACUGGUGGACGAGCAAGAUCUAGGGGCCGCGGCCUGGUGGGGGCAAGUCGUGUGGCGGCAGGGGGAGACUUAGUUCUUAACUUAGAAGAAGCCGGGGAAAGGGAAUAGAUCAAGUUUCUGAAGGAUGUUCAGGACCUCUCUCCUAGUCACAUUCAACCUUUGGGUUCACUUUUGAAUAUCUUUUUGGAAGCUUGUCUCACUAUUUUAAAGGACUAUGCCAUGGAGCCUGAUGAGAAACUUAUACUAAAUGCAGCACAUUUCAUGGUAGCAUUAAGGAAACACAAACAGAGUUGACACCAAUGAAUGGAAUCUAUCCACUGAUACACAUUUCCUAGAUUGAUAACUGCUCUGGAAAUGUUGUGAUUAACCCAGCAGUUGUGUUAGUCUACGACAGUUUGAUCAACUAUCGCGGUACCAAAUUUUCUAUAGAUUGCAAACUUGAGUUUGCUUGCACUGCUUGCUCAUCUUAAUUCUGCUGCUGUGCUGCGCUAUAAGCAGAACUCGGUCCUUUUUUGAGAUCGCUACUUCAGUGUUGAUCAAGUUUCAGAGAUGUCCACUUUUCUUCAGCAGUGAGAUGUUAUAGCUCGUAGGAUUUUUCCCCUAGUACACUUUGAGCUCACACAUAUCUAGGGACUAACCCCGGAGUUGUCUAGGUUCUCGCUUCCAGUAUAGGGGUGUGAUCCUGGCUCCCCCCCCCUUACUUGCUUUCUACGCAAACCAAAAGCACAGAGACAGUGUUGUGCCACUUUUAUUAUACUAGCCUUUAUGGUCCACAAACUCCUGUAAACAACAUCAUUCCUUCAUCCCCUCCUGCUUUGGCUAGCUACUGAUGGAACCUUCUAGUUAUGCAAAGAACCUGGAAAUGCUGCACAUCCUACUAAUGCAAUUCUGUCUUUCGAGCAUCCUGGGAUAAACCUAGAUAUUAGAAUGAGUUAUUUUGAUGAUACAAUCUCAUUUCUAUAUGUUUAAUCAUAUGUGUCCCUGCUUUAGAUUAUGAAGCACAAGUCCGAAUAGUAGCUGCCGAAAAGGAGUUAAGGAGGAGCUAACUUGUAAAGGAGGCAAGAUGAGAGAAGAAAUGCCUAACCACCAUCACCUAACUUCCCACGCAAACAAGGGAUUAUUUUGUUUCCCCUCACAUCCUGUCCUUCACAUAAAGGGCAAUGUUAAGAUUAAGAUAUAGGGCGAGUGUGUUUGUGCACAUGCUUGAUUAUGUGGUUGUAAAUAAUUUGAUUACUUUCACUCCGAUUUGUUGAUUCUGAAGGGUCCUUUCAGUAGUGUUUGUAACAAUGCGAAAAUACUAACGAAGUUAUGUGUUUUUAAAUGGCAUGGCUAUGCCACGGAGCCUGAUGAGAAACUUAUACGAAACGCAACACAUUUGAUGGUAGCAAGGUUGACAAGAAGUGUUGCUAAUGUAACUUGUAGGUAUAGAUAACCUUUGCUUUAUUACUUUCUUGUGUUAUAAAUGUCAAUGAUCUUGUGAAUUGUCAGAACACCACUUUAUAUACCUUGCGUGCUGAUUGAAAAGACCUUUACGUCACAUUUAAGAACCUUUACGUGGUUCUAUAUUAAGCCAACUCAGAAGGUCACUUCAGGGGCUUGGCUAUGCAAGUCGUCUUCUAGAGCUGUCAUUUCAGCAGGAAUCACAAACGGAGUUGACACCGAUGAAUGGAAUCCAUCCACUGAUACACAUCUUCCUCGAUUGAUAACCGCUCUAGAAAUGUUGUGGUUGAGUGUAAGGCUGCGUAGCAAGGAGAACUCAGUCCCGUGUUGAGAGCGCUACUUCAGUGUUGAUAAGUUAUAGAGAUGUCCUCUGAUCUUCAAUAGUGAGGUGUUAUAGCUGUAACCACUACUCGUAGGAUUUUUAUGCUAGUACACUUUGAGCACAAACUUUUGCAGGAACUAACCCAGAGUUGUCCUAAUUCUCACUUCCGGUAUAGGGGUGUGAUCUGGCAUCACCCCUUACUUGCUUUCUACUCAAACAAGUAUGUAUUCUAUCCUUUUUACAUUUUCUUAUCCUUCACAUUGAGGGUAAUGUUUAGAAUAGUUUUGAGGUGUGGGUGUUUGCAUGCAUUCUUCUUUUUGGGGUUGUAAUUUAUCCUAUUUGUGUGUAUAUGUAAGGUUUUCUCUCUAUUAAUUGUCACCAGAAACACUUUUUAAUGGUUUAUUAGUGUAGACUUAGUUUCUCUCAAGGGUUGGAGAACUAAGAUUCCUAAUUUAAAACACCUUACUUAUUAAUAUUUUAAUAUGUGAAAAUGAAUUUGUGAUGCUGAACAAGACAUGCUGCUGAACAAGACCAUGUACAUAUAUUUUCAAUGGUCGUUUGAAAUUUUCUCUAUGGAGUGUGGUGAACGUGGAUUUGUUGAUGUUUUUUCCAUUGAAUGGGAUUUACUUUUUAAAGCAAUAAUACUAGCAAAUAACUGAUAUAAAAACUUUGGUAAAGGCUUGUGUUAAUUUAGUCUAUUGAGUAUGGGUUUGGAAUUCAUAUUGUUUGUAUUUUGUCCUUGUUGCCUUUUUUUAACCUUGUCUAUAUGCACUCCAAACCAGUGAUGGGGAAAUAGAUCAACAACUUUCUAUUAGGAGAAAGCAUAGAGACAGUGUUGUGCCACUUUUUUUUAUGCUAGCAUUUAUAUGCAAGGUCAAGUGAACCUUUUGUCCUAAGCUAGGCCACCUGUCGCAUUCACAAAACGGAGUUUAUGAGGUGAUUCUCUGACAAAUUCUAGGACAUCUAAGUUGAUUUAGGUGGUCAGAUAUAUAUUAUCUAUUUUCAUCUUUGUGAUCUUUAUUUAUGUCUCAUUUCAUAUUUUCAAUUUGUUCGCAUGAGUUUGCUCAUUUUCUAGGCAAGAAUCAAUCCAUCCAGAGCUCAAAUGCAUUUCCAGUUUGCCCCUCCGCUUCAUUAGUAGGUGGACUUUCCUGGAAAUUUGCAUCUCUACUUCUGACCGAAUGAGUGUUGGCACUGGAAUUGGUGCUAUUCCCCACACACCUGAAAUUUGCUCUGACGAGAUGGAUCCUGUUGAAUCCCAGAUUCCUACAAGCUACUAAUGGAACCUUCCAAUUAUGCUAAAGAACCUAGAAAUGCUACACAUCCACUAAUGCAACUGUCUUCCGAGCAUCCCGAGACAAAUGUCUCUGAGCCAUUUAUAACCUUUGGUGAUGCAUUGCGUAUGUACCAUACUAUCUCAUAGAAGGAUAAUAUUUCUGAUGAUGACUAUAUAAUUUCAUAAGCUGGGCUCGGUCUAGAAGUGGGAAUGAUGUCAAUCCUACAUGGAGUUAAGGAGGAGCUAACUUCUAAAGGAGGCAAGAUAAGAGAAGAUAUGCCUAACCCCCAUCACCUAACUUCCCACGCAAACAAGGGAGUAUUUUGUUUCCCCUCACAUUUUUUUUCCUUCACAUAACAGGGCAACGUUAAGUUAAGAUUUGGGGUGAGGGUGUUUGUGUGCAUGCUUGAUUAUGUGGUUGUAAAUAAUUUGAUUACUCUAUCUCCGAUGUGUUGAUUCUGAAGGACCCUUUUUUCAAUAGUGUAUAUAACAAUGCGAAUACUAAAGAAGUUAUGUGUUUUUAAAUGGCAGGAUUAUGCCAUGCCAUGGAGCCUGAUGAGAAACUUAUGCGAAAUGCAACAGAUUUGAUGGUAGCAAGGUUGGCAGGAAGUCUUGCUAAUGUAACUUAUUAGGAACCUUUACGUGGUCCAGUAUCAAGCCAACUCAGAAGGUCACUUCAUGGCUUGGCCAUAGCAAAUGAUCUUCAAGAGCAGUCAUUUUAGCUGGUGACUAAUGGAAUCACAGGCGGCGAUGACACCGAUGAAUGGAAUCCAUCCAUUGACACACAUCUUCCUCGAUUGAUAGCCGCUCUGGAUAUGUUGUGAUACACACAAAGUUUUAAAUAUUAUUCCAUCAUUUGUAUUUGUCUAUGACAGUUAGAUCAGCUAUCGAGGGACCAAAUUUGCUUUUGAUUGCAAACUUGAGUUUGCUCGUACUGCUCAUCUAACUUCUGCUGCUGUUCAUUGCAGGUUGAGUGCAAGGCUGCGCUGCAAGCAGAACUCGGUCCUUUGUUGAGAGCACUAUUUCAGUAUUGAAUGAGAUUUACUUAUUAAAGCAAUAAUACCAGCAAAUAGCUGAGAAAAUUUUUGUCCAAACCAUUUAAUGGGGAAAUAGAUCGAUUACUUUCAAACGGGAGCCCUUUAUCCAGAGCCAGGGCAUGUGUCACAUUCACAACGGGUUUAUGAGAGCUCAAAUGCAUUUCCAGUUCGCCCCUCGGCUUCUUCAGGAGGUGGAUUAUCCAGGCAAUUUGCAUCUCUACUUCUGACCAAAUGAGUGCUAGCAUUUACUCAUCUGGCCUUGUUAGCACUGGAAUUGGUGAUAUGCCUCAUACACCGGAAAUCGACUCUGACGAGAUAGAACCAAUUGGAUCCCAGAAUCCUACAAGUUCGCUCAUCUCAUAUUUCAAUUGGCAAUGGUCCACAAACUCUUGUAAACGACAUCAUUCCUUCAUUCCCUCCUGCUUUAGCUAGCAACUGAUGGAACCUUCCAGUUAUGCAAAAGAACCUGGAAAUGCUGCACAUCCUACUAAUGCAAUUCUGUCUUCCGAGCAUCUUGGGACAAACCUUGAUAUUAGAAUGAGUUAUUUUGAUGAUACAAUCUCAUUUUUAUAUGUUUAGGCAUAUGUGUGCCUGCUUUAGAUUAUGAAGCACAAACCGAAUAGCAGCUGCUGAAAAGGUUACAAACUCAGUCGGAUUCUUAAUCAAGAAUUUGCUGUCCAUCAUAUUAGGAUGAGAGAAGAAAUACCUAAUGCCCAUCACCUAACUUCCCAUGCAAACAAGGGAGUAUUUUGUUUCCCCUCACAUUUUUUCCCUUCACAUAAAUGGCAAUGUUAAGAUUAAGAUUUGGGGUGAGGGUGUUUGUGUGCAUGCUUGAUUAUGUGGUUGUAAAUAAUUUGAUUACUCUAUCUCUGAUGUGUUGAUUCUGAAGGACCCUUUUUUCCUUAGUGUAUAUAACAAUGCGAAUGCUAAAGAAGUUAUGUGUUUUUAACUGGCAGGUCUAUGCCACAGAGCCGGAUGAGAAACUUAUACAAAAUACAGCCCAUUUGUAGUAGCAAGGUUGACAGGAAGUCUUGCUAAUAUAACCUGUAGGUUGAGUGUAAGGCUGCGUAGCAGAACUCGAUCACGUGUUGUGAGCUCUACUUCAGUGUUGAUCAAUUUCUUGAGAUGUCCCCUUUUCAACAGUGAGGAGUUAUGGAGGAGCUAACUUUUUAGGAGACAAGAUGAGAAAAGAAGUAGCUAACCCCCACCACCUAAUUUUCUAUCCAGACAAAGGAGUGUUUUAUCUUGCCUCACAUUUUAUUGUCCAUCACAUAAAGGGAAAUGUUUAGAUUCAUUUUGGAGUGUAGUGUUGUGUGCGCAUUGUGUGUGUUUUGCGUUUAGUGUACGAACUUUGUGUACUUUGUGAUUUUGCGUGCAAUGAGUAUAUGUGUGUUUGUAGUGUA
Long non-coding RNA from Salvia splendens (bonfire salvia), 7604 nucleotides. RefSeq lists it as uncharacterized. Lineage: Eukaryota; Viridiplantae; Streptophyta; Magnoliopsida; Lamiales; Lamiaceae. The record is from RefSeq and is a predicted model, not a curated record. The transcript has 26 exons.